GCCGCUGUGGCGCAACGGAUAGCGCGCUGGACUUCUAAUUCAAGGUUUGUGGUUCGAGUCCCAUCAGCGGUG
RNAcentral lists this transfer RNA (72 nucleotides) under Clytia hemisphaerica. RNAcentral describes it as "tRNA-Arg for anticodon UCU". It matches the Rfam family "tRNA". Rfam says of the family: Transfer RNA (tRNA) molecules are approximately 80 nucleotides in length. Their secondary structure includes four short double-helical elements and three loops (D, anti-codon, and T loops). Lineage: Eukaryota; Metazoa; Cnidaria; Hydrozoa; Leptothecata; Clytiidae. The record is from Rfam by way of RNAcentral.